Molecule: long non-coding RNA, 736 nt
Filed under: Ananas comosus (pineapple)
Lineage: Eukaryota; Viridiplantae; Streptophyta; Magnoliopsida; Poales; Bromeliaceae
Description: long non-coding RNA (ACOM_LNC006687)
Source: RNAcentral
GUUUCAAAUAAUUUUUCAAAUAAUAAUUUAUUCUCAAAUAUAUAUCUUAAGUUUUUACCAUUAGAUAUCAUCCAACGAUUAAAAAUAAAAGUAUCUGUCACUUUUCUUGACAAAAAUACCCUCAAUAUCCGUUAUCUCCUACCUACGCAUUUUACAAAUAUGUACGUGUUUUCUCAAACGUAAUUCCCGCCAUAACUUAAAAUAUCCGUUAUCUCCUAUAUUUUUUUUCUCACACGUAAUACGUGAGCCAAUCACGUAGAAUAUUGUUAGAAAGAUUUAAUACCCAUCUAAGCAAAACUAAAAUAUUAAUUAAAUAUAAUUUUAAAAUUUUGAAUUUUUUAGUAAAAUAUUCAAAAAUAAUACCCGCCAAAAUAUUUUACGUGUUUCUUAAAUACAGAAUAUAUCUUAAUACACUCGCAUAUAAUAUUGCUAGAAAGAUUUAAUAUCCACCUAAUCAAAACUAAAUUGUUAAUUAAAUAUAAUUUUAAAUUUUUAAAUAUUUUUAAUAAAAUAUUCAAAAAUAAUACCCACAAAAAUCUUUUACGUUUCUCAAAUAUAGAGCAUAUCUUAAUGCACACGCAUAUAAUAUCUACAUAUCUUUACAUAUAAUAUCUAUACUAUAUAUCCAAUCUUAUUUCAUUAUAAUAUUUAUUCACACACAGAAUAUAUUUUUUUAGUAAUAUCUUUUUUAUUUUCACCUAUAUUUUUUUAAGUUGUCCCCUAUCAAGAUGAUUCU